UUGUGCGCAUUUUGCUAUUAUGUGUUCUUUUAAUUAAAAUGAUUCUUUUUAAGGGUUUUCAUCACUUCUGUUUUGAUUCCCUUGUUACUUUUAGUAAAUUAUAGUGUUCAAA
RNAcentral lists this ribosomal RNA (112 nucleotides) under Plasmodium vivax (malaria parasite P. vivax). RNAcentral's name for it is "partial 18S ribosomal RNA". Lineage: Eukaryota; Apicomplexa; Aconoidasida; Haemosporida; Plasmodiidae. The record is from RNAcentral.